RNAcentral lists this ribosomal RNA (460 nucleotides) under uncultured bacterium. Its description in RNAcentral is "partial 16S ribosomal RNA". It matches the Rfam family "Bacterial small subunit ribosomal RNA", at positions 338 to 795 of the family's 1533-position model. The record is from RNAcentral.
CCUACGGGAGGCAGCAGUGAGGAAUAUUGGUCAAUGGGCGUAAGCCUGAACCAGCAAAGUCGCGUGAGGGAUGAAGGUUCUCUGGAUCGUAAACCUCUUUUAUAAGGGAAUAAAGUGCGGGACGUGUCCCGUUUUGUAUGUACCUUAUGAAUAAGGAACGGCUAACUCCGUGCCAGCAGCCUCGGUAAUACGGCGGAUCCGAGCGUUAUCCGGAUUUAUUGGGUUUAAAGGGUGCGUAGCCGGCCUUUUAAGUCAGCGGUGAAAGUCUGUGGCUCAACCAUAGAAUUGCCGUUGAAACUGGGAGUCUUGAUGAUGUUUGAGGCGGGCGGAAUGCGUGGUGUAGCGGUGAAAUGCUUAGAUAUCACGCAGAACCCCGAUUGCGAAGGCAGCCUGCCAAGCCAUGACUGACGCUGAUGCACGAAAGCGUGGGGAUCAAACAGGAUUAGAUACCCCUGUAGUC